Molecule: long non-coding RNA, 11460 nt
Filed under: Gossypium raimondii (Peruvian cotton)
Lineage: Eukaryota; Viridiplantae; Streptophyta; Magnoliopsida; Malvales; Malvaceae
Description: long non-coding RNA (GRAI_LNC004845)
Source: RNAcentral
AAAGGCAAGGUUGAGAAGAUUAUUGCAUUGCAAGUUGCAGCUCUAGUUUCAAUUGAUGGUGAAACUACCAUGAAUGACCUAUAGUAGCAAUUGGCACUACUCGCUUAAAAUAUUAGUAGGGUGCUUAAAAAGUUUACCAGAAAGAACAAAGAUUUGAUGCAAAUAAAAAUUUUAGCAAGAUAAAGUGGAAACGAGUUGUGAUCAAUUACGGUACACCCAAGGUGAAAAAGAAGAGGAUAAAGUGUCAUAACUGCCAAGGCUUUGGUGAUAUUCAAGAUGGAUGCCUCAAUACAUCGAAGAAAAAAAGAAGUCAUUGUGUGUUACCUGGAGUGAUGAAAACUCUUCAAGUGAUUUAGAAGAGGAUGACGAGCAUAUUAGCAACUAUGUUGCCUUUACCUCCCAAGUUGUUCUUGUGUUGUAACUGACUCAGAUAACUCAAAAAUGAUAUUGAUACCAAGUCUACUGGCAUCAAAGACUUACAAUAUUAUGAUAGAUAAAUAAGAUUGGGUGUGCAAGGUAAAUUGAAUUCUUGAUGAUGAAAGCUCAUUACUAAAAGUGAAGCAGAUCAAGGAAAAAGAAUAUCUAUUGAAUGACAAGUCAACUAAAUUGGAAACAACAUUGAAGGAAUUAUCUACUGCCCAAUUCGUGUUGAAAAAGCUAUAAUCUAGUAGUGAUUAGCUAGAUGAGAUACUUGCAGUUGGUAAAAGAAACCCUAGUAAAGGUGAACUUGAUUAUGAGGAUAAAGAAGACAGAACAACAAAUUGCAUUUGUCAAAGUUUAAAGAACAAUUGAUCUACCUAAGUGUUUCUAGAAGGUUGAUAUUAUUAGUAUAAAUGAUCAUAGCAAGCACAUUCAAAUAAUUGCAUGUCAUUAUUGUGGUUUCCUAUGUUAUAUUAAAGCAAGGUAAUUCAAAAUUUUAAAGGAUCUGAUAAGAAACCAUCCAAUUAUUGUUAUGAGCUAAUGAGCUCAGGUUUAGUUAAAUAAAAACAUUUUUGUACCAUAAUCUUGAUACAUGUACAUUCAUGUUCUUUGGUUCUUCUUUAAUUUUAAAACAGAAAUGUUAGGGUAUUUUAAUAAAAAAAACAUUUUUUUAGAUAUUAAAAAAUUAUUUUUGUCAUUUAUUGUUGUAAGUUAACAAAGUAUAAAAAGAAAUAUUUUUUUGAUUGGAAGCUCAUAGGUUUUUUGGCGAAAUUUAGAUUUUGUGGAAUUCUUUUACCACAAUUGAGGUUUUAGAAGUAGAUUCAGAGUUUAUUCAUCUACAAUGCUUUUCUCAUGAUUUUAAUAGAAUUUUUCUAUGCACAAUUAUUUAUGCUUACCUUCACAUUAUGAUGAGGAAAAUGGUCUUUAUGUAGUCUUUCAAACCAAUACAGGCUCUCUUGGUUUCUUAGAGGGGACUUUAAUUGCAUUAAAUAGAGGAGAGAAAAGGAGAACCCUUGGGUAAAAGUGGGUUUAGUAAAGUUUUCUCGAACUUUAUGUUUGAUGGUGGAUUAAUUUAUUUGUGUUUUCAAGAACCUAAGUUUACUUGGUCUUAGGGAACACUCUUUUAAUGGCUUGAUCAAUUUUUUUUUUUGUAAUUUAGAAUGGAUGGUGUAGUUUUCGUCUUCAACGGUUCUCCAUCUACAAAAAAAAAAGGUUUGGAUCAUUAACUUAUUAUUUUGAACACUAUGGUAAAUUCGAAGAAAAAAAAAGACAAAUUAUUUUCACUUUUUCGCUACUUGGCAGGAUCAUCCCCAAUUCCUAGAUUUUUUAAAAGAAACUUGGAAGCUAAAUGCAAAUAUUCAAGAAAAUAUUGGUUCGUUUGUGAAUGUUAAAGAAUGGAAUAAGCAGGUAUUUGGGAAUAUUAGGAGACAAUCAAACAUUUCAGACCGAUAAAUCUUUGUAUGGUUUUGUACAAAAUACUUACAAAGACUAUUGUUAAUAAACUUAAGCCUUUUUUACCUGGAUGGAUCCACCCUAACCAAGUAAGUUUCGUGCUUAGAAGUUGCAUAAGAAAUAACAUUUUUAUUGCUCAGGAAAUUAUACAUUCGAUGAAAAAGAAAUCCAGAAAAAGAGGUUGGAUGGCUAUCACAAUAGAUCUAGAAAAAGCUUACGAUAGAUUAGACUGAGCAUUUGUCAAGGACUCUCUUUCUGACACAAGUACACUAUUAUUGAUAAGGGAUUUUAUUAUGCAAUAUAUCUAUAUAGUGAAUAUGCAGGUAAACUGGAAUGAGAGCCUUUCUGAUGAUUUUAAGCCUACAAGAAGGAUACACUAGGGGGAUCCUUUAUCCUCAUAUAUAUUUGUUGUAUGUAUGGAAUGAUUAGUACAUGCAAUUAAUAAAGAAGUUAGCAAUGAAAGAUGAUGUUCGAUUCAAUUUAGCAGAGGGCCCAUUUAUCUCACAUUUAUUUUUUGCUUACGACUUAAUUUUAUUUGUAGAAGCAUCGAUUGAAAAAAUGCAUACUUCUUGACAUAAAAUGAAUAAGAAAAAAAAAUAAAAAUCUAUUUUUCUAAUAAUGUUCCCGAUGUGCUUAAAGUUGACAUUAGUUGCGAUUUUGGGUAUGCUCAGGUUGAUGAUUUGGGUAGAUAUCUCGAGGUGCCUUUGUUACAUCAUAGGGCCACUAAAUAGACUUAUGGAUAUUUAGUCUCUCAGAUUAAAAGGGAACUAGUUAGAUAGAAGGCUUGCUAUUUAUUAAUGAUUGGAAGGGUCACACUCACUAAGUUAGUUAGCUAUACCUAUUUAUGUUAUGCAAACCCAAGUUAUUCUUAAAAGCAUCUACUUAGAGAUCUACAGUAUUAUUUGAAACUUUUUUAGGGUAGAUCAGAGGUGGCUCGAGGUGUUAAUUUAGUCAAAUUGAGUGAAGUGUGUAAACCAUUGCCGGAGGGUGGACUUGACUUUCGAACGAUGGAUAACAAUAAUAAAUUAUUUCUCAUGAAGGUUGGCUUUCACUUAACUCAAAAGAACGUUCAAUUAUGGUUUAGAGUACUAAAGUCGAAGUAUAGAUAGGAGGGUGAGAUAUUGAGUUGUCUGAGGUCAAAUGCAGCUUCUAGACUGUGGCGAGGAGUGUAUAGUAUUUGGGAUCUUAUUAGAGAUUGGAUUGUGUGGGAUUCGGGAAAUGAAAAUAAUGUUAAAUUUUGGAGAGAUAAAUAGGCUCCUAGAGAGUUUCUGUUACGAGGUAAAAAGCUAAGUAGGAAAAUAGAGACUAAAAAGGUCUUAAAACAAUGAGUUUCACUUAAGUAAAAUGGUGCAUUUAAUACUAAGAAUAAUUUUACAAAAUGGUGCGUAAGGACUUUAAUUAAACGGUGAUUAUUGUUACAAUUGAAUUUGCCACGUUUAUCAUUUCUUUAUUUUCCUUUUUAAGCAUUAGUUGUAAGGGAAAUAUUGUUAUGAAAUCACACAAGGAAAUUGCAGAAAUCUCUCUUUUCUCUUUUUUCUUUUUCUUUUCUCUACUUUCUUCUUAUCUCAGAUUUGAGGUUGCAUCAAAGGUAUCAGAGCUAUUACGAUCUCUGUGAUGGUUGGUGAUGGUGUCUCAACGCGAUUGUAGAAGGAGGUUGGGGGCAUGCAGUAGGAAAUCUCUAAAAUACAAUAGGAGGUGGUUCAAUUAGAGGCUUGGAUGGAUACCAAGUUUCAGGUGUUCAAAGAUGAGUUUCUUGGGGACUUACAAGCUUUGUUAGGGCAGUAUUUUGGACCUCCAGCAAAUGGGACCACGGAAAAAAGAAGAGGGUCUUAAGGGCUCUACAUUGAUUCCCUCCAAAAUAUUUAGGGGCACCCAAUGUCCUAAUUGGACUAAGCAUGAUACCUUCAGUUGAUGUGAGCAGUGUACAUCUGCGGAAUCACUCAUUUGUGGUAGAAGCAUCUAAGAAGCCAAGUAAGCUUGAGUGUCCCAAGUUUGAUGAUAGUAAUUUUUGGGGAUGGUGGACCAAGCUUGAACAAUACUUUGAGGCUAAGGGAACUCUAGAAUCAAGUAAAAUUCGUAUAGUAAUGUUGAAUCUGAAGGGUUGAGCUUUGGAAUGGCACCAUUUCUACUUUCAACGAAAUGAUGGUUUUCAGAUGUUAUCCUAGCUAGCUUACAUGAAGAGUUUAAAGAUCGUUUUGAAUUUGGACAGUUUGGAAAUCCUAUGAAAGAGUUGGUUAAUCUGAAGCAACAAGGUACAGUGGAACAAUAUCAAGAUAUGUUUGUUGGUUUAUUAAAUCAAUUUCACAUUCCUAAAACAUAUGCACUUAACAUUUUUCUUGACUUGUUUGAACCAUCUACGCCGAUGGAAGCUUUUCAGUUGGCUAGAAAGAUUGAGGUGCUGUCGUCUUGCUUAGCAAAGAACACUUUAGUUCCUUUGAAUAGUUCCCCUAGAUAACUACUCAGUCCAUCUGUGAUAUCAGAUUAUUCUUUAACUCCACGAGGCCUGUUUCUGCUUCAUAGUCUGUGAUUAGUGCUUUAGUAAGCAAAUCUACUUCUCGGUCUAUUUCACCAGCAUUAAUGGUUGAACGAGAGUAGAAGGGCCUAUGCUUCUGGUGUGAAGCCAAGUACCAUGCUGGACACAAGUGUGUCAAGUCCCAGCUAUAUCAGUUUUUGCCGGAACCUUUAUCUGACAGUGAAGCAGAGGAAUUCCAGGAAUGCUCUGAUAGGCUUGAGGAGAGUAGUCUUGAAGAGAAACCAUCCAAAUCCCCUGUGAUUUUGUUACAUGCCCUUAUUGGUUUACAGGGUCACAAUACCAUAUGAGUGGCUGCUCGAUUGAGGUCUAUUUGGGAAAUGAUUUUGGUCGACUCAGGUAGCACACAUAACUUCAUCGAUGCUAGGCUAGUGGGUAGGUUAUUGCUGACAAUAGUGCACCAAGAGCAGUUGAAGGUCAAUGUCGCAAAUGAGAGCUAUUUUUUUACCAGGGGAAUGUGCAAAGGAGUUCGAUGAGAAGUUCAAAAAUGCCAGUUUGAAACAGAUUUCAUGGUACUACCACUGAAGGGUUGUGUUCAGUGGUUAUUGACCUUGGAGGAUAUUAUUUGGAACUUUGGUUCCUUAACCAUGCAAUUUAUGGUUAAGGGUGAACCAUGUAUUAUUCAUGGUAUUGUUCCAAGCUCAUUAGCUGUAGAAACCAGUAGCUCAAAGUAACGGCCCGGUUUAGACCCUAGUCGGAACAGUAGUUUCGGGACCACAAAUUCGAGUCAAAAAAAUAAUUUAAUAUUAUUUUCGGUGUUUAAAGUAUGUGAAUUAAGAUGUGUGAAAGUUUCGUGUGAAAAUUUUAUCCGUUUGUGUGUUUAAUUUGAUAAAAAGGACUAAAUUGCAUGAAGCGUAAAAGUUGAGUUCUAAUAGCUAAAUGUAUUAAAUAGCUAUAGGGCUUGAAAGUGGAAGUUCUUAUAUGGUAAUUAGCCCAUUAGAUUUGAUUGUGGAUUUUAAUGGCUUGGCAUUUCAGUAAUUUUUUAAAGUUUUUAAAGGUUAAUUAAGUAAAUUGGUAAUUAAUGAUUGUUAUAAUAAAAUAAAGAAAAAGAAGGCUAGCGGGGGAGAGGGGUGUUUUUCUUCUUUCUUGUUGCUGCCGAAAACCGUGGAAAGCUUUGGAGAAUGCUUUGCUGUCUGUUACUAACUUUGAAUGCAUGUAACUGUUUUUAGCUUUCAUUUUUGGUAAAUUUUGUAUUUUUGGAACCAUUGAUGUUAGGCCCAACUAAUAAAGGGAUUAUAUUGCUAAAUUUAUAAUAAAUUUUGGGACUGGUUUUCUUUUGAAGUAUUACGUUGUGUUGGAAAAAUGUAGAUGAAUGGCUAAAUAUUUUUUUGAGCAAUUUAGCUACUUUAGGUAGUAAUUAUUGUUUGUAUUAAUCCCUAGUGACUUAGAUAUUUUAAAUCUAUAAUAACAUGGUGUUAAUCAAUAAAUUGACAAGGUUUGGGGGGACUAAUUGAGAGUUGUAUAUGUACGAUUAGCUGGGAAUUUGGUUAAGGAGGUGGAUAAAAAUAGUUUUUGUGUAAUGAUUUUUGCUAGCAUUUAUCUUUAAGGAGUUGGGUGUUACAAAAAUUAAAAUAGCAUGAUAAAAACUGUAAAUUCGGCUAGCUGAUAUUUAAUUCAAAAAAAUAAAAUAAAAUACCAAGAAGGGUUAGUUGCUGGUGUUUAAAUAUUUUCGGUGGUUGGAUUAAUUAAUUAAACUAAAUUAUUACUAAAUUAGCAUUGAUGUUUCGGUUUCGAUUUAAUGGUUGAAAAUGUUUACUGUCUAGCAUUAGUUAGAUUCUUUUAUUGUAAGUUUAAAUACUGCUCGGAAAUAGUGCAAAAAUUAAUGCUGCCCAAUUUUGUGCCCUUUUUAUGCUGUCUAAAAUUUGAACAAAUUAAUGGUUCUAUUUUCAUGCCGAUUGGGGGCUGUAAAAACAGUCCCAUUUGUUGCAUUAUGCUGUCCAGUUUUAGGAUGAAUUAAUUGAGUUAUUACAGGAUUAAAAAGCAUGGAUUUUUGCUGUGAUAAGCUAGUAAAUUUUAAUACUAUUAAGUGUGUUCUUGCGGAUACAAAUGCCCUACAUGUUUGCUAUCUUGUUCUGUCCAAAAUAGGACAAAUUGAAUAUGUUUGUGAAUGAGUUUUUCAAAGUAAACUUUGUAAAUUCUCAUGUUUAAAUUCUGAUGUUUGCAUGCAGGUAAGUUAUGGUUAUAGGGAUAGAUAAAUCGAGUUUAGUUACUAAGUCUCGGUUGUUAGUAGUGAAGAAAAAAUAAAUAAUUAAAUAAAUAAAUUUACAAUUAAAUGUCAAAUAGGUGAUUAAAUGAGUUAAAUUUGAAUUCAUAUAGAUUAAGAAAGAAAGAAAUCGGAUUUAGAUCGGGGGAAAUCGAAAGUUGAUGAGUAGUUGAUUCGAUCCGUUCGUUUCCGUAUGAGGUAAGUUUAUAAGCAAAUAGAUGUUAUAAUCUUUAAAUAAAUAUUAAAUAUAUAUAUGCUGAAAUGAAAAUAUGCAAAUAUAUAUUUAUAUGUGUGUAGCCGAAUGUGUUUAAGCUCGGGAAGUGGAAAUAGACGUGGAUGUGAUUUAUCAAUAUUUAGCACUGAGUGUGCGAGUAUAGAAUAGUUAUGGCUAUAUGAUUGGCACUAAGUGUUGUGCGAGUAUAGAAUAGUUACGGCUAUAUGAUUGGCACUAAGUGUGCGAAAUUAAAUAAUGAUGUUGAAUAAUGAGCACUAAGUGUGCGAAACUAAGUAAUGAUGUUGAAUAACGAGCACUAAGUGUGCGAAACCAAAUAAUUAUGUUAAUAACGGGCACUAAGUGUAACAGCCCAAUUUUCAGUAGUGUCAGAAUAGUGAUUUGAGAUCACUAAAUCCGAUGAAAACGUUAGAAAAAUUUAUUAAUUAAUAAUUAUAAGUUCAGCUUGAUUUUAGAAAUAUUUUUAAAUGAGUGAAUUUUGUGAUUUAAAAGAAAUUAUUAGGUAAAUUGGGUAAAAAACGAGGUAUCGAGACCUCGAUAUCAUAAACUGAGCCGUAAAUAUUUUUAUAAAUAUUUACAGAGUGUCAACAGGAUAAUAUUAAAGUUUCGUUAAGAAAUUUUAACGUUUCGAUAGUUAAUUAUGAAAAAGGAUUAAAUUGCAAUAGGGAUAAAAGUUUAAUUAUAGAUUAAAGAAAAGUUAAAAGGACCAAAUAGGCAAUUAUGCCUUUUUCCAAAGUUGAGGCGGCAUAAGUAUAAAAAUCUGAGAUUUUUAUGUGUUAAAAAAAUAUUAUUAUAUUAUAGUAAUGAUUAUGUUUUUAUAUUAUGUUAUUAUUAAUAUAUUAUAUUAUAUUAUUAUAUUAUUAUAUAUAUAUGACAAAGAAAGAAAGAAAAGAAACAGAGAGCAAAACAAAACAGAGAAGGGAGAAAGAAAGAAACAGAGAGCAAAACGAAACAGAGAAGGAAGGAAGGAAAGAAAGAAAGAAAAAGAAAAAGAGAAAUUUGGGGUUUUAAGGUUCAGAGUUAAUUUGGUAAGUCAAUUUAAUCCCUUUUCUCUUAGUUUUGAAGUUUUUGGAAUCCUAGAGAUAAAUACUACUUGAUUUAUGUUGAUAUUUUGAAAGUUAGUAGAUUAUUAGAUGAUGUUCAUGUUGAAUAAAUUGAAGUGUUAGGGGGUUAAAUUGAUUGAAUUUCAAGUUAGAAGUUAGUAAAGGAUUUAAUUGUAAAAUAAAGUGUAAGUUUUGAAUAGUAGGGACUAAAUUGAGAGAAUUUCGAAAUUAGGGAUUUAUGGUGAAAUUGAAGAGUUAAAAUGAGUUUAUAGUAAGAAUUAAGAGAGAAUAUAGAGUUAGAUUGGGAAAAAUAAAAUUAGUAUUGAUAAGGGAUUAAAUUAGAAUUUGGGUAAAGUUUAGGUAUAAAAGAAAAUAUUUUGAUGAAACUGAGUAUUAAUGAUUUUUAAUUGUUUAAUUACGUAGCUAAUGUCGUGUACGAGUCAUUGUCCGAGAAAGGAAAGGAGAAGGUGGACAAGGAUUGACUCAGGAGAAAUUUCGGUUAGUAUUACUAUAAUUCGAAUUUAAUUAUUAAUUGUUAAAUUUUAAAUUAAUAUACAUGAUAAGCAAAUUGAGGUAAGCAUCACGACUGAAUUGAAUGAUAAAUACGUAUUGGUAUUGAAUUUAUUAAUAGUAAUUGUUGAAUUUUGAAUAAUAUGUUUAGUAUUAAAAAAAAUAGAUGAAUAUUGAUAUUGAAUUGUACAUGAAUUCGAUUGGAAAAUGAAUUUAAAUAUAUAUAUGAAUGGAAUAAAGUGAAUUAAUUGUGAAUAGUGUGAUAUAUGUGAAUGUGAAUAGUAGUAAUUGUAAUGACGGAGAAUGAUAAUCCUUUUUGAAAUAAUUUGUAAAGUAUUAAUAAUGAGUCAGAUUAUGCCAGUAGAUGCCCAAGUAGAUGGAAUUUAGAACUACCAGGAUAUUAGUGGCAUGCCAUUAAGGAACUUAUUAAGGAACUUUAGCGCGCUCUCUGAUAUUAGCACGUUGGUGCUCUUUGAUAUCAGCACGUUGGUACUCUCUGAUUAUUAGCACGUUGGUGCUCUCUGAUAUUUAGCACGGCAGUGCUCUCUGUUUAGCACAUUUGUGCUCUCUGUAUUUGUUCCGUAUAUCCGGGGUGUUCUGUAAAAUCUACUUUGGGCUAAGAUUAUAAGCUGUGGACAAAAGUGAAUCAUUAAUGUGUUAAGGUAAGUCUUAUAAAGUUUAUAUGUACCGUUUUAGGCAUAAUGUGCCGUAUUGGUGUGUUUUGGUUGGAUCGGUGUAUCCGCCAAGAUCUGAGUCAAGUUAAUAGGGGUAAAUGAAUAAUUUUGAUAAUAUAAAUUUUUAUUGAAUGAUCUUGAAUAUGAAUUGAAAUAGCUAUUGUUAAGAAGUGAGAAGUGAAAAUAAAAUAAUUUGAAAGAGUGAAAUAAUAUGUGAAUUUAACUGAAUACAAGUUAUUGAAAUUUAGUUAUGGAUUUAAUGAAUAAAUUGAGUGUUAAAAGAUUUACAAUACAUAUUGAUUAUAAAUAGAAAUGAUAAUGAAUGAGUUGAUAAAUUGAUUGAAUUUGUAUGAAUUGGAAUGAAUUAUUAGAAUGAGAUGUCGAAAAAUCCAAUAGAAUUGAGAUAGUGAAAUAAGGUAUGAAUACAAUUAAAUACAAGAAUUGAAAUAUUGCUUAUUGUUAUUAAUGAUCAAGUUGAGUUAAAGUAUGAGAUAAUUAAUGAAUAAUUGUAGACAUAAAUUAAAUGUAUAUAAAUUAUCAAUUAAUAUUAUUAAUUUGNNNNNNNNNNNNNNNNNNNNNNNNNNNNNNNNNNNNNNNNNNNNNNNNNNNNNNNNNNNNNNNNNNNNNNNNNNNNNNNNNNNNNNNNNNNNNNNNNNNNNNNNNNNNNNNNNNNNNNNNNNNNNNNNNNNNNNNNNNNNNNNNNNNNNNNNNNNNNNNNNNNNNNNNNNNNNNNNNNNNNNNNNNNNNNNNNNNNNNNUUUGAAUGUUGUAUCUAUGAUAUUGCUAAAGAAAAGAGGUGUGAGUAUGUGAUAAUGUUUGGCUUUAAAAAUGGUUAAGUAUGAAAAUCAAGAAAGAGUAAAUUUUGCAAAGAAACAGAAUUCAGGCAGCAACAGUGACGUAACUUUGAAAAAUCACCUAGGAUAGUAUAAAAUGAAUUAGAGGGUGAAUGAUAUAUGAAAUGAAAGAUUAUUGAGUCUAUUUUUAUAGAAAAAUAACGGUUUAGCAAAAAGAAAUUUAUAUUUUAAGAUAUGUGAAUUUUAGUGAGAAAUGGUCAGAUCUAUUUCUGGAGUCCCCUGUUCCGAGUUUAGAAAAUCACUAAAAAUGGUAUAAAAAUAUUUAUGAGUUGUAGUUUAUAUGUGUAGAAUCCUUAUUGAGUCUAUUUUCUGUAGAAAUAAGUGGUAAUAUCAUAUGAAAAUCCUAUAAUGAGAAAAUUUAUUUUUAGUACCAAGGGGUCAGGACAGUCGAGUGAAGAAACAGGGGAGAAUUUAACUAAUAAACUGUACUAAUUGGUCAAACCAAGAAUUCUGAAAAUUUUAUGGUAUAAAGAUAUAUGAGUCUAGUUUCAGGAAAAAUUUACGAAAUUAAAUUUGGAGUUCCGUAGCUCGAGUUAUAAUCAAUUUAGUAACUGCUGCGCGAUUGGACAGAUUACUGUAAUGCCUCGUACUCGAUUCCGGAAACGGUCUCGGGUAAGGGGUGUUACACUAAGUGUGCGAAACCGAGAUCAAUUUGGUUAAAUGAGAGAGAGCACUAAUUGUGCAACUUUAUUAUGGCCUCGAUAAAUUAUUUAGCACAAAUUGUACUGAUUCAAUGAAUGAUAAAUGUGACAUAUAUGUAUAUGUUAGUAUAAGUACGUAAUAGUUAAUUAAUAUAUGCUAUCAAAGUUAGUUGGUUAUGUCAAUUUUGAUACAAAUUAUUUGAUGCAAAUGGAAGUAUGUGUGUGUGAAAAGCUUAUAUUCGGCCAAAGGGGUAAGUAUAUGUGAAGUCAUAAUUAUGUUUUAUAUGCAUUUGUAUAUGAAUGAGUACAUUCGGUAAAGAGUGGGUAUAUGAUUUGAAGAUGAAAAAUAACUAUGUUAUUAUUUAAAGGUAUAUUCGGACAAGCUGAAAUUGGUUCAUAGUUACAUAUUUGAUAUUUAAGUUUUGCAAGCUCGAAUGUGUAUAUAUAUGAAUAUGAUUGCAUUAUUCGAUUUUGUUAUUGAAUUAUUAACGUCAUUGAAUUGUUUAAUUGCUUAUGACUUACUAAGCUGUGAUAGCUUAUUGUGUAUGUGUGUUUCCUUCGGUUUUAUAGAUUUUAGAAGCUAGUUACGGGCUCGGGGAUCGUCAGCGUAGUCAAUCACACUAUCGUCCGUCCAUCAGUACCUAUAAAAGUUAAAUUUAAAAUAUAUGGCAUGUAUAGGCUAUACUCCCCUUUUGAAUAUAUUUUGAAUAAAGUGUAUAUAUAUAAUAGGCCAUGCGAAAAUGGCUUGUUUAUUUUGACAUGAAUGGUUUCAUGCUUUGAUUAAAUAUUAUGGUUGAUGAUUUGGCUAUGUUUCGUAAAUGGUUGAGACUAAUAUAAGUGAUGUUAUGCUUUGGAAGAUUUUGAAUUUUGAUAAUUAUACAAAUGCUUAUAGCAUAUUCGGC